RNAcentral lists this ribosomal RNA (478 nucleotides) under uncultured bacterium. RNAcentral's name for it is "bacterial SSU rRNA". It matches the Rfam family "Bacterial small subunit ribosomal RNA", at positions 29 to 501 of the family's 1533-position model. The record is from RNAcentral.
AACGAACGCUGGCGGCGCGCCUAAUACAUGCAAGUCGAGCGAGAAGACGUAGCAAUACGUUUGUAAAGCGGCGAACGGGUGAGGAAUACAUGGGUAACCUACCCUCGAGUGGGGAAUAACUAGCCGAAAGGUUAGCUAAUACCGCGUACGCUCCUUGGACUUCGGUUCAGGGAGGAAAGCGAUACCGUGGGUAUCGCGCUCUUGGAUGGGCUCAUGUCCUAUCAGCUUGUUGGUGAGGAACGGCUCACCAAGGCUUCGACGGGUAGCUGGUCUGAGAGGACGAUCAGCCACACUGGCACUGCGACACGGGCCAGACUCCUACGGGAGGCAGCAGUAAGGAAUAUUGCGCAAUGGGCGAAAGCCUGACGCAGCGACGCCGCGUGGGGGAUGAAGGUCUUCGGAUUGUAAACCCCUUUCGGGAGGGAAGAUGGAACGAGCAAUCGUUCGGACGGUACCUCCAGAAGCAGCCACGGCUAAC